Molecule: non-coding RNA, 65 nt
Organism: Lachnoclostridium sp. YL32
Lineage: Bacteria; Bacillati; Bacillota; Clostridia; Lachnospirales; Lachnospiraceae
Source: Rfam
GUCAUCGUGAGGUGGGGUCUGAAGGAAGCCGGAGGCAAACCACUGGCCUGUAAAAGUUGUCCGGA